RNAcentral lists this ribosomal RNA (288 nucleotides) under Acinetobacter baumannii. Its description in RNAcentral is "partial 23S ribosomal RNA". It matches the Rfam family "Bacterial large subunit ribosomal RNA", at positions 1 to 289 of the family's 2925-position model. The record is from RNAcentral. Lineage: Bacteria; Pseudomonadati; Pseudomonadota; Gammaproteobacteria; Moraxellales; Moraxellaceae.
AGUCAAGUAAUUAAGUGCAUGUGGUGGAUGCCUUGGCAGUCAGAGGCGAUGAAAGACGUGAUAGCCUGCGAAAAGCUCCGGGGAGGCGGCAAAUAUCCUUUGAUCCGGAGAUGUCUGAAUGGGGGAACCCACCUACUUUAAGGUAGGUAUUGCAACAUGAAUACAUAGUGUUGCAAGGCGAACGAGGGGAAGUGAAACAUCUCAGUACCCUUAGGAAAAGAAAUCAAUUGAGAUUCCCUCAGUAGCGGCGAGCGAACGGGGAUCAGCCCAUUAAGUUAUGUGUGUUUU